Molecule: non-coding RNA, 21 nt
Filed under: Caenorhabditis elegans
Lineage: Eukaryota; Metazoa; Nematoda; Chromadorea; Rhabditida; Rhabditidae
Source: RNAcentral
UGUUGAAAACAUUUUGUGAAU